GACGAACGCUGGCGGCGUGCUUAACACAUGCAAGUCGAACGGAAAGGCCCUGCUUUUGUGGGGUGCUCGAGUGGCGAACGGGUGAGUAACACGUGAGUAACCUGCCCUUGACUUUGGGAUAACUUCAGGAAACUGGGGCUAAUACCGGAUAGGAGCUCCUGCUGCAUGGUGGGGGUUGGAAAGUUUCGGCGGUUGGGGAUGGACUCGCGGCUUAUCAGCUUGUUGGUGGGGUAGUGGCUUACCAAGGCUUUGACGGGUAGCCGGCCUGAGAGGGUGACCGGCCACAUUGGGACUGAGAUACGGCCCAGACUCCUGCGGGAGGCAGCAGUGGGGAAUAUUGCACAAUGGGCGGAAGCCCGAUGCAGCAACGCCGCGUGCGGGAUGACGGCCUUCGGGUUGUAAACCGCUUUCGCCUGUGACGAAGCGUGAGUGACGGUAAUGGGUAAAGAAGCACCGGCUAACUACGUG
RNAcentral lists this ribosomal RNA (468 nucleotides) under uncultured bacterium. Its description in RNAcentral is "partial 16S ribosomal RNA". It matches the Rfam family "Bacterial small subunit ribosomal RNA", at positions 28 to 507 of the family's 1533-position model. The record is from RNAcentral.